GCAGACAUAUUCCAGCCAAUCAGCAGCAGACCCUCCCUCCCAGACCCUCCCACCUCCUGGACAGCAUCCAUUUUGCAUUCAUUGUGAAGCUGCAUUCUUAGUGAGCUGUCCAGGAGGUGGGAGGGUCUGGGAGGGAGGGUCUGCUGCUGAUUGGCUGGAAUGUGUCUG
This 168-nucleotide microRNA precursor is filed under the name Pelobates cultripes (western spadefoot toad). Lineage: Eukaryota; Metazoa; Chordata; Amphibia; Anura; Pelobatidae. The record is from RNAcentral.